Molecule: ribosomal RNA, 200 nt
Filed under: uncultured bacterium
Lineage: Bacteria
Description: partial 16S ribosomal RNA
Rfam family: Bacterial small subunit ribosomal RNA
Source: RNAcentral
ACGCUCGACACCUACGGGAGGCAGCAGUUGGGAAUAUUGGACAAUGGAGGAAACUCUGAUCCAGUGACGCCGCGUGAAGGAAGAAGGUCUUCGGAUUGUAAACUUAUUUUGUCAGGGAAGAAAAAAUGACUGUACCUGAAGAAAAAGCACCGGCUAACUACGUGCCGANAGCCGCGGUAAUCUGAGCGGGCUGGCAAGGC